ACGGAAGGUGCAAGCGUUAGUCGGAAUUACUGGGCGUAAAGGGUGCGUAGGCGGUGAUAUAAGUCGGAUGUGAAAUUCCAAGGCUCAACCUUGGAGCUGCAUCCGAGACUGUACCACUAGAGGAAUGGCGGAGAGAAUGGAAUUCCAGAUGUAGGGUUAAGAAGCGUUCAUAUAUGGAGGAAGAACCGGAGCGAGGGGGGUUAUCUAGCUUUCACCGGACGGUGAGACCCGUGAGCAAGUGGUGGAAGAAG
RNAcentral lists this ribosomal RNA (251 nucleotides) under uncultured prokaryote. RNAcentral's name for it is "partial 16S rRNA". It matches the Rfam family "Bacterial small subunit ribosomal RNA", at positions 525 to 775 of the family's 1533-position model. The record is from RNAcentral.